This 273-nucleotide ribosomal RNA is filed under the name uncultured bacterium. RNAcentral's name for it is "partial 16S ribosomal RNA". It matches the Rfam family "Bacterial small subunit ribosomal RNA", at positions 524 to 796 of the family's 1533-position model. The record is from RNAcentral.
UACGGAGGGGGCUAGCGUUGUUCGGAAUUACUGGGCGUAAAGCGCACGUAGGCGGACCAUCAAGUCGGGGGUGAAAUCCCGGGGCUCAACCCCGGAACUGCCUCCGAGACUGUUGGUCUGGAGGUCGGGAGAGGCGAGUGGAAUUCCGAGUGUAGAGGUGAAAUUCGUAGAUAUUCGGAGGAACACCAGUGGCGAAGGCGGCUCGCUGGCCCGAUACUGACGCUGAGGUGCGAAAGCGUGGGGAGCAAACAGGAUUAGAUACCCCCGUAGUCC